GGAGGAAUGCCCGAGUGGUUAAAGGGGACGGACUGUAAAUCCGUUGGCUAUGCCUACGUUGGUUCAAAUCCAACUUCCUCCACCA
RNAcentral lists this transfer RNA (85 nucleotides) under Falsochrobactrum ovis. RNAcentral describes it as "tRNA-Tyr". It matches the Rfam family "tRNA". Rfam says of the family: Transfer RNA (tRNA) molecules are approximately 80 nucleotides in length. Their secondary structure includes four short double-helical elements and three loops (D, anti-codon, and T loops). Further hydrogen bonds mediate the characteristic L-shaped molecular structure. tRNAs have two regions of fundamental functional importance: the anti-codon, which is responsible for specific mRNA codon recognition, and the 3' end, to which the tRNAs corresponding amino acid is attached (by aminoacyl-tRNA synthetases). tRNAs cope with the degeneracy of the genetic code in two manners: having more than one tRNA (with a specific anti-codon) for a particular amino acid; and 'wobble' base-pairing, i.e. permitting non-standard base-pairing at the 3rd anti-codon position. RNAcentral also lists the same sequence under 5 other names. The record is from RNAcentral. Lineage: Bacteria; Pseudomonadati; Pseudomonadota; Alphaproteobacteria; Hyphomicrobiales; Brucellaceae.